This is a ribosomal RNA of Fusarium oxysporum f. sp. lycopersici 4287, 784 nucleotides long. It matches the Rfam family "Eukaryotic large subunit ribosomal RNA", at positions 665 to 1455 of the family's 3401-position model. NCBI's taxonomy places the organism in Eukaryota, Fungi, Ascomycota, Sordariomycetes, Hypocreales, Nectriaceae. The record is from Rfam.
ACCAAGGAGUCGUCUUCGUAUGCGAGUGUUCGGGUGUCAAACCCCUACGCGUAAUGAAAGUGAACGCAGGUGAGAGCUUCGGCGCAUCAUCGACCGAUCCUGAUGUUCUCGGAUGGAUUUGAGUAAGAGCAUACGGGGCCGGACCCGAAAGAAGGUGAACUAUGCCUGUAUAGGGUGAAGCCAGAGGAAACUCUGGUGGAGGCUCGCAGCGGUUCUGACGUGCAAAUCGAUCGUCAAAUAUGGGCAUGGGGGCGAAAGACUAAUCGAACCUUCUAGUAGCUGGUUUCCGCCGAAGUUUCCCUCAGGAUAGCAGUGUUGAACUCAGUUUUAUGAGGUAAAGCGAAUGAUUAGGGACUCGGGGGCGCUAUUUAGCCUUCAUCCAUUCUCAAACUUUAAAUAUGUAAGAAGCUCUUGUUGCUUAAUUGAACGUGAGCAUUCGAAUGUAUCAACACUAGUGGGCCAUUUUUGGUAAGCAGAACUGGCGAUGCGGGAUGAACCGAACGCGAGGUUAAGGUGCCAGAGUAGACGCUCAUCAGACACCACAAAAGGUGUUAGUACAUCUUGACAGCAGGACGGUGGCCAUGGAAGUCGGAAUCCGCUAAGGACUGUGUAACAACUCACCUGCCGAAUGUACUAGCCCUGAAAAUGGAUGGCGCUCAAGCGUCUCACCCAUACCUCGCCCUCAGGGUAGAAACGAUGCCCUGAGGAGUAGGCGGACGUGGAGGUCAGUGACGAAGCCUAGGGCGUGAGCCCGGGUUGAACGGCCUCUAGUGCAGAUCUUGGU